ACGGCCAUAUAAUCUUGAAAACACUAGUUCCUGUAUGAUCACCAAAGUUAAGCAAUGUUGAAUCUGAUCAGUACCUAGAUGAGUGACUGCUUGGGAAUACCAGGUGGUGUA
This 111-nucleotide ribosomal RNA is filed under the name Acanthosepion pharaonis. The record is from RNAcentral. Lineage: Eukaryota; Metazoa; Mollusca; Cephalopoda; Sepiida; Sepiidae.